UGCCCAGCAACUCCUAUCCCUACCUCCUCGUGGUACUGGCCGGGGUACGAGUAACCUUGGGGAAGAUCGGGUAACCAACCCCCGGUGGGAACAUUGGUCGUAUGCUGACAGGAAAGG
Non-coding RNA from Aedes aegypti (yellow fever mosquito), 117 nucleotides. The record is from Rfam. Lineage: Eukaryota; Metazoa; Arthropoda; Insecta; Diptera; Culicidae.